This is a long non-coding RNA of Zingiber officinale, 209 nucleotides long. RefSeq lists it as uncharacterized. Lineage: Eukaryota; Viridiplantae; Streptophyta; Magnoliopsida; Zingiberales; Zingiberaceae. The record is from RefSeq and is a predicted model, not a curated record. The transcript is spliced from 3 exons.
CCCGAAGAGAUGGAGAAAUUGGUAACUGAACUAUGGAGGGCACAUAUGAGGCAUCAAGAUCCAUCAGAGGUCAUGAACAAAGAUAUCAUUUCACACUUCGUUCUUCGUCUUGCAUAUUGUAGAAUGGAUGAAUUAAGGAAAUGGUUUCUUUCCAUGGAGACUUCUCUUUUCCGCUAUCGAUUCCGACUAGAAAGCCCUGAGUCAUAGGU